AGUGAAGUUGAUAGAGGGGUAACGCCUGAUCCCAUUGCGAACUCAGAAGCUAAGCCCGCUCAGGCCGAUGGUAGUCCUUACGGGCGAGAGUAGGUUAUUGUCAGGA
RNAcentral lists this ribosomal RNA (106 nucleotides) under Planctomycetota bacterium. Lineage: Bacteria; Pseudomonadati; Planctomycetota. The record is from RNAcentral.